RNAcentral lists this small nucleolar RNA (121 nucleotides) under Meriones unguiculatus (Mongolian gerbil). RNAcentral describes it as "Small nucleolar RNA SNORA70 (ENSMUGG00000001618.1)". It matches the Rfam family "Small nucleolar RNA SNORA70". From Rfam's summary of the family: snoRNA U70 seems to be exclusive to mammals and is a member of the H/ACA class of snoRNA which contain H (ANANNA) and ACA box motifs. H/ACA box snoRNAs are involved in the conversion of uridines to pseudouridines (5-ribosyluracil) a constituent of structural RNAs (transfer, ribosomal, small nuclear, and small nucleolar). The record is from RNAcentral. Lineage: Eukaryota; Metazoa; Chordata; Mammalia; Rodentia; Muridae.
CUGCAUCCAAUUAAACUGCCUAAGUUCCUUUUCUUCUGGAGCCUGGUGUGCAGUGGCAGCAAACAGCAUCCUACUUGGGAGCUGCUUGUAUGUGUUUCUCUAAGGGAACUUAGAGAUAGAA